ACGUAUUGAUCCUGGCUCAGGAUGAACGCUGGCGGUAUGCUUAACACAUGCAAGUCGAACGGAAUCCUUAGGGAUUUAGUGGCGGACGGCUAGUAACGCGUGAGAAUCUGGCUUCAGGUCGGUGGACAACAGUUGGAAACGACUGCUAAUACCGGAUAUGCCGAGAGGUGAUUGAUUAAUUGCCUGGAGAUGAGCUCGCGUCUGAUUAGCUAGUUGGUGGGGUAAGAGCCUACCAAGGCGACGAUCAGUAGCUGGUCUGAGAGGAUGAUCAGCCACACUGGGACUGAGACACGGCCCAGACUCCUACGGGAGGCAGCAGUGGGGAAUUUUCCGCAAUGGGCGAAAGCCUGACGGAGCAAUACCGCGUGAGGGAGGAAGGCUCUUGGGUCGUAAACCUCUGAUCUCAGGGAAGAAAUGAAUGACGGUACCUGAGGAAUAAGCAUCGGCUAACUCCGUGCCAGCAGCCGCGGUAAUACGGAGGAUGCAAGCGUUAUCCGGAAUGAUUGGGCGUAAAGCGUCCGCAGGUGGCCAUGUAAGUCUGCUGUUAAAGAGUCAUGCUCAACAUGAUAAAAGCAGUGGAAUCUACAGAGCUAGAGUACGUUCGGGGCAGAGGGAAUUCCUGGUGUAGCGGUGAAAUGCGUAGAUAUCAGGAAGAACACCGGUGGCGAACGCGCUCUGCUAGGCCGUAACUGACACUGAGGGACGAAAGCUAGGGGAGCGAAUGGGAUUAGAUACCCCAGUAGUCCUAGCCGUAAACGAUGGAUACUAGGCGUGGCUUGUAUCGACCCGAGCCGUGCCGUAGCUAACGCGUUAAGUAUCCCGCCUGGGGAGUACGCACGCAAGUGUGAAACUCAAAGGAAUUGACGGGGGCCCGCACAAGCGGUGGAGUAUGUGGUUUAAUUCGAUGCAACGCGAAGAACCUUACCAAGGCUUGACAUGUCGCGAAUCUUUCUGAAAGGAGAGAGUGCCUUCGGGAGCGCGAACACAGGUGGUGCAUGGCUGUCCUAGGCUCGUGUCGUGAGAUGUUGGGUUAAGUCCCGCAACGAGCGCAACCCUCGUUUUUAGUUGCCAGCAUUAAGUUGGGCACUCUAGAGAGACUGCCGGUGACAAACCGGAGGAAGGUGAGG
This 1127-nucleotide ribosomal RNA is filed under the name Anabaena cylindrica BSC-5. Its description in RNAcentral is "bacterial SSU rRNA". It matches the Rfam family "Bacterial small subunit ribosomal RNA", at positions 1 to 1178 of the family's 1533-position model. Lineage: Bacteria; Bacillati; Cyanobacteriota; Cyanophyceae; Nostocales; Nostocaceae. The record is from RNAcentral.